UACGGGGGGGGCAAGCGUUGUUCGGAAUUACUGGGCGUAAAGGGCGCGUAGGCGGCCUUCUAAGUCGGACGUGAAAUCCCUCGGCUUAACCGAGGAACUGCGUCCGAUACUGAAAGGCUUGAAUCCGGGAGAGGGAUGUGGAAUUCCAGGUGUAGCGGUGAAAUGCGCAGAUAUCAGGAGGAACACCGAUGGCGAAGGCAGCUCACUGGGACGGUACUGACGCUGAGACGCGAAAGCGUGGGGAGCAAACAGG
This 253-nucleotide ribosomal RNA is filed under the name uncultured bacterium. RNAcentral describes it as "partial 16S ribosomal RNA". It matches the Rfam family "Bacterial small subunit ribosomal RNA", at positions 524 to 776 of the family's 1533-position model. The record is from RNAcentral.